This 380-nucleotide RNase P RNA is filed under the name Saprospiraceae bacterium. Its description in RNAcentral is "RNase P RNA component class A". It matches the Rfam family "Bacterial RNase P class A". From Rfam's summary of the family: Ribonuclease P (RNase P) is a ubiquitous endoribonuclease, found in archaea, bacteria and eukarya as well as chloroplasts and mitochondria. Its best characterised activity is the generation of mature 5'-ends of tRNAs by cleaving the 5'-leader elements of precursor-tRNAs. The record is from RNAcentral. Lineage: Bacteria; Pseudomonadati; Bacteroidota; Saprospiria; Saprospirales; Saprospiraceae.
ACUGCAAGUCGUUCUAUCGCAUCAUUCUUGAUGAGGAAAGUCCGGACAACGUAGAGCACCAUACCAUCUAACGGAUGGGAUUUUUUUGAAAUACAGAUAGUGCCACAGAAAUAUACCGCCUGACUUGUCGGGUAAGGGUGAAAACGUGCGGUAAGAGCGCACGCGGCCUGUCAGUAAUGGCAGGUUGGGGUAAACCUUAUGGGUUGAAAUGUCACGUAUAUCUUAGUAAUCCAUUGAGGAUUGUUGAGUUGCUCGCUCAACUAGUACGCUAGCUAAGAAGGGUAGGCAGAUAGAGUCUAAGGGUGACUUUAGACCUAGAUAAAUGAUAGAAACAUUGAGUCUUCAAUGUACAGAAUCCGGCUUAUAGGCUUGCAGUCUUU